RNAcentral lists this ribosomal RNA (253 nucleotides) under uncultured bacterium. RNAcentral's name for it is "partial 16S ribosomal RNA". It matches the Rfam family "Bacterial small subunit ribosomal RNA", at positions 524 to 776 of the family's 1533-position model. The record is from RNAcentral.
UACGGGGGGAGCAAACGUUGUUCGGAAUCACUGGGCGUAAAGGGCGUGUAGGCGGCUGAAUAAGUGGGAUGUUAAAUCCCCCGGCUCAACCGGGGACCUGCAUCUCAUACUGUUCAGCUCGAGCACAUCAGAGGAGACUGGAAUUCCCGGUGUAGCGGUGAAAUGCGCAGAUAUCAGGAGGAGCACCAAUGGCGAAGGCAGCUCGCUGGGACGUGACUGACGCUGAGACGCGAAAGCGUGGGGAGCAAACAGG